CCUGGCGGCCAUAGCGAAUGGGAACCACCUGAAUCCAUCCCGAACUCAGAAGUGAAAACGUUCAGCGCCGAUGAUAGUGCGGGGUCUCCCCG
This 92-nucleotide ribosomal RNA is filed under the name Gammaproteobacteria bacterium. The record is from RNAcentral. Lineage: Bacteria; Pseudomonadati; Pseudomonadota; Gammaproteobacteria.